Lineus longissimus is the source of this 1452-nucleotide long non-coding RNA. RefSeq lists it as uncharacterized. Lineage: Eukaryota; Metazoa; Nemertea; Pilidiophora; Heteronemertea; Lineidae. The transcript has 3 exons. The record is from RefSeq and is a predicted model, not a curated record.
UUAAUGGAGUGACAGCUACAAAGUUUAACGCCAAAAUGUAUUUGAUUUGCCAUUAGACGAAAUGUGCCGUUUCAUGAAGAAAUAUAUUAAAUCAUUUAGGACUGACGUUCUGAGCAAAGGCGCCAGAAGUGCAUGUAUCGCGAAACCGUUUGCAAAUCCUUAAAGCCAGUAACAUCCUUCAGCAUCUGUUGGUAACGCUAUCCACGAUGGGCAAGUCGAAAGAAGCCAAGGGAGUGUCGUGUACCACUUGUAAAGUCCUAUGCACGCCAGUUGAUUCAGAUUUCGAGUGGAUAAAGGCUUGCACGGCCUCACCCCAAUGGCUGACCUUCUGCUACUGGACGAAGACUGAGCACGACGUAACAGCGAACGGUACCAUCACUGUCGGUCCUGAAGGUAAUACGUCCUCCGAGGCAAGUGCAACUAAGAUUGGGGCUGGUGCCUGGCUAUUCAAAUAUUUCCGAAAUUUGGAUGAUGAUAAGUUCUACUGUUCUUUGUGUUACGCAAAGAGGGAUCUACUUCGGGCAAAAUGUGUCUUUCUUGAGUUGGCAGUGAAUGGGCGAGUCGUAUCAACAGACUUCAAACUUGUCAAGAUUGGAACUAUUCAUGAGCCAGAGGAAAAUGCUGAGGCGUCGAAGUAGCUCACUAAGCAAUUAAAUUCGAAAGUGACAAUGGGGAAUGCCUUACUGAGCACCAAAACUUCCAAACAAAUCUGCCAAAAUAUGCCAAGGUUCAGACUUUUUCAUAUAUCUUUCAUAAAAGACAGGUUUUGCAAUCCGUGCGACCGACGAAGUACGAACUGCGAAGUAAGAAGGUUAGUCCAUUCGUAUAAUGUUAUGUCCAGAUCGCAUGGGGCUGUUUAGGGCGAAUUACGAAACCGAACUUCAACGAAAUUCGACCAGUAGUUGGCCCUCCAGAGCCCCAAACGAUGCGGACAUAACACUGGUUUAUGAAUGGACUAUAUCAACAACUCGUUUGUGCGAUACUCGCAAAUCAGCUAUUGGACUUAGUUGUAGGAGGAAUCGGAGAAAUGUUCAAUAGGAAAUCGUCGAUAAGUUCACAGACUUCGCACUUUCUUCCUUGUUAAGCUUUUCGCACGGCUUGCGAAACCUGCCUAAUGACUGAUUAAGUAACUGAUUUUAGAUUUUGAUGACAUAAAUGUAUUGUUUUCUGUAUUUUUCUGGGAAGGUGAAUAAGAAUAUUGAGGAAAUCUUCCCGGAUGUUUUACCUCAACGGAGGAAUAAGCUUAACUAGCAAUAAUUACCCGUGCUCCGCACGGUCUUAAUGUCUUAAUGUUCAUCGAUGUUGUCCAGUGAGGUUCAACCUCACUUUAAGUCCCCCGACUUGACCAUGUUUCAUACUUCCAACAGUCAGUAGUAGUCAGGAGGUUCGCUCAUGUUUGGAGCGAACGCUGUAGUUACUAGUAGAAAAUUUUAUUGGUGACAAUAAAUAAGA